This is a long non-coding RNA of Anoplopoma fimbria (sablefish), 526 nucleotides long. RefSeq lists it as uncharacterized. NCBI's taxonomy places the organism in Eukaryota, Metazoa, Chordata, Actinopteri, Perciformes, Anoplopomatidae. The transcript is spliced from 3 exons. The record is from RefSeq and is a predicted model, not a curated record.
CAUGCAAAUGCUGGCUCAACUCUUUCAGGCCUCACACCACCCUGAUCCUACUAACUGGAGUCCUGCGGUUCUCUGAGGUAUACUUCUUGUCAUAUGUCACAGGCAAGACAGUUUCUGAGGUGAGACUACCCAUGGGAUUUGCAUUAGGUACAGAGGAGAUGUGGAACAUGCAAAUGCUGGCUCAACUCUUUCAGGCCUCACACCACCCUGAUCCUACUAACUGGAGUCCUGCGGUUCUCUGAGGUAUACUUCUUGUCAUAUGUCACAGGCAAGACAGUUUCUGAGGUGAGACUACCCAUGGGAUUUGCAUUAGGUACAGAGGAGAUGUGGAACAUGCAAAUGCUGGCUCAACUCUUUCAGGCCUCACACCACCCUGAUCCUACUAACUGGAGUCCUGCGGUUCUCUGAGGUAUACUUCUUGUCAUAUGUCACAGGUACUGCUGUAUUCUUUCAUUUCAAUUUGUUUCAUGACUUUGGUAAUCACUUUGUUCCUAAUAACUUCAUAUCAUUGUUUUCUGUUUUUUAU